UACGAAGGGGGCUAGCGUUGUUCGGAAUUACUGGGCGUAAAGCGCGCGCAGGCGGCUAUCCAAGUCAGUGGUGAAAGCCCGGAGCUCAACUCCGGAACUGCCAUUGAAACUGUUUAGCUUGAGGAUGAGAGAGGUGAGUGGAACUGCGAGUGUAGAGGUGAAAUUCGUAGAUAUUCGCAAGAACACCAGUGGCGAAGGCGGCUCACUGGCCCGAUACUGACGCUGAUGCACGAAAGCGUGGGGAGCAAACAGG
This 253-nucleotide ribosomal RNA is filed under the name uncultured bacterium. Its description in RNAcentral is "partial 16S ribosomal RNA". It matches the Rfam family "Bacterial small subunit ribosomal RNA", at positions 524 to 776 of the family's 1533-position model. The record is from RNAcentral.